Molecule: long non-coding RNA, 316 nt
Filed under: Brassica napus (rape)
Lineage: Eukaryota; Viridiplantae; Streptophyta; Magnoliopsida; Brassicales; Brassicaceae
Description: long non-coding RNA (BNAP_LNC016993)
Source: RNAcentral
UUAAUAUUUUGUGCUUAUAGAAUCCGUAUAGAACUCGUAUAGCUCGAUAUCAAACCUUAUGAACACCAGAAUAUAAACUCAAACAAGAAACUCUUCUUAUUGAACUCUCACAAUGUCUUAGAAAAUCACUAGAAACUAAGACUCUCACAAACUCAUAAAACUCACACAUUAUGCAACACUCUUGCAUAACCUUAUAUAUCCCUCUAAUUAUCCUAAACUCAUUAGGAAUAACACAACUAGAUAUUUCCUAUUCUUUCUAGAUAAACAUAACUCAAGUAAAAUAGGAAACUUGUAUCCCAAGUUAUUCAAGCUUAUC